GCAUAGGAAUCUGCCUGUUAGUGGGGACAACCUGUGGAACGCAGGCUAAUACCGCAUACGCUCCGCAUUGAAAGAUGGGGAGGAAAGCGGGGGCUCUUCGGACCUCGCGCUAAUAGAUGAGCCUAUGUCAGAUUAGCUUGUUGGUGAGGUAAAGGCUCACCAAGGCAACGAUCUGUAGCUGGUCUGAGAGGAUGAUCAGCCACACUGGGACUGAGACACGGCCAGACUCUACGGGAGCAGCAGUGGGAAUAUGGACAAUGGGCGCAAGCCUGAUCCAGCAAUACCGCGUGUGUGAAGAAGGCCCGA
This 306-nucleotide ribosomal RNA is filed under the name uncultured Gammaproteobacteria bacterium. Its description in RNAcentral is "bacterial SSU rRNA". It matches the Rfam family "Bacterial small subunit ribosomal RNA", at positions 115 to 419 of the family's 1533-position model. Lineage: Bacteria; Pseudomonadati; Pseudomonadota; Gammaproteobacteria. The record is from RNAcentral.